This 433-nucleotide ribosomal RNA is filed under the name uncultured bacterium. RNAcentral describes it as "partial 16S ribosomal RNA". It matches the Rfam family "Bacterial small subunit ribosomal RNA", at positions 29 to 507 of the family's 1533-position model. The record is from RNAcentral.
AACGAACGCUGGCGGCAUGCCUAACACAUGCAAGUCGAACGAGACCUUCGGGUCUAGUGGCGCACGGGUGCGUAACGCGUGGGAACCUGCCCUUAGGUUCGGAAUAACUCCCCGAAAGGGGUGCUAAUACCGGAUAAUGUCUUCGGACCAAAGAUUUAUCGCCUUUGGAUGGGCCCGCGUUGGAUUAGCUAGUUGGUAGGGUAAAAGCCUACCAAGGCGACGAUCCAUAGCUGGACUGAGAGGAUGAUCAGCCACACUGGGACUGAGACACGGCCCAGACUCCUACGGGAGGCAGCAGUGGGGAAUAUUGGACAAUGGGCGAAAGCCUGAUCCAGCAAUGCCGCGUGAGUGAUGAAGGCCUUAGGGUUGUAAAGCUCUUUUACCCGGGAUGAUAAUGACAGUACCGGGAGAAUAAGCUCCGGCUAACCCCGUG